This is a long non-coding RNA of Lepidothrix coronata (blue-crowned manakin), 455 nucleotides long. RefSeq lists it as uncharacterized. The record is from RefSeq and is a predicted model, not a curated record. The transcript is spliced from 4 exons. Lineage: Eukaryota; Metazoa; Chordata; Aves; Passeriformes; Pipridae.
CUACCCGCCGGCCGCCCUCCCAUCCUAGCCGCCCUCCCGCUCACCGGCCCCGCGCGGUACUCACUGCUCUCCCGCACCGCUUGUCACCCACCGCCCAGCCCCGCCCGCUCUGAGGAAUGCACCGGGAUGGAACAGUGCCUGCUGAAAAUAACCCAUUCUUGCAGUGCCUAGGAAAUACGAAUACCAGAUGUUUAGUUUUACAAGUGCCAGGAGAUCAAAGAUAGGAGAACUGUAUCAUUAAUCUUUUUUCAAAGACCAUGCAGAGAGAGGCACCUUUGGAAAAUUCAGAAACAAAACCUAAUUUACACACUUGGAAAGAGCUUUAGUAUCAUUUACCAGCCAUGGAGAAAAUAUGCCUAUGAUAUUAAAAGGUGUUUAUGGAAUAUAAUCACAGGACAUGAGUUGCAAGAGAUUCCAGCUUAUACAGAUGGGCAGUCACAGUACUACACUCACAG